This 280-nucleotide unclassified non-coding RNA is filed under the name fungal sp. RNAcentral's name for it is "partial internal transcribed spacer region". The stretch from base 1 to 46 matches the Rfam family "Eukaryotic small subunit ribosomal RNA", at positions 1786 to 1831 of the family's 1831-position model. The record is from RNAcentral. Lineage: Eukaryota; Fungi.
AAGUCGUAACAAGGUUUCCGUAGGUGAACCUGCGGAAGGAUCAUUACCGAACUGUCGACACGAGCUGUUGCUGGCCUCCCGCCCGGGGGGCACGUGCACGCUCUGUCCACACAUCCACUCACCCCUGUGCACCCACUGUAGUUCUGUGGCCCUUGGGGGCUCCUGCCCCCUGGUCCGUGGUUCUACCUCUUUACACACACUCUGUAACAAAGUCUCAUGGAAUGCAUGUGGCGUUUAACGCAAUAUAAUACAACUUUCAGCAACGGAUCUCUUGGCUCUC